CCUCGGGUGGCUGCAGUGGGGAAUAUUGGACAAUGGGCGAAAGCCUGAUCCAGCCAUGCCGCGUGUGUGAAGAAGGCCUUCGGGUUGUAAAGCACUUUCAGUGGGGAAGAAAGCCUUGGGGCUAAUACCCUCGAGGAAGGACAUCACCCACAGAAGAAGCACCGGCUAACUCCGUGCCAGCAGCCGCGGUAAUACGGAGGGUGCGAGCGUUAAUCGGAAUUACUGGGCGUAAAGCGCGCGUAGGCGGUCUGAUAAGCCGGUUGUGAAAGCCCCGGGCUCAACCUGGGAACGGCAUCCGGAACUGUCAGGCUAGAGUGCAGGAGAGGAAGGUAGAAUUCCCGGUGUAGCGGUGAAAUGCGUAGAGAUCGGGAGGAAUACCAGUGGCGAAGGCGGCCUUCUGGAUUGACACUGACGCUGAGGUGCGAAAGCGUGGGUAGCAAACAGGAUUAGAUACCCCAGUAGUC
RNAcentral lists this ribosomal RNA (464 nucleotides) under Vreelandella stevensii. RNAcentral's name for it is "partial 16S ribosomal RNA". It matches the Rfam family "Bacterial small subunit ribosomal RNA", at positions 339 to 795 of the family's 1533-position model. The record is from RNAcentral. Lineage: Bacteria; Pseudomonadati; Pseudomonadota; Gammaproteobacteria; Oceanospirillales; Halomonadaceae.